Molecule: unclassified non-coding RNA, 237 nt
Filed under: Hevea brasiliensis (rubber tree)
Lineage: Eukaryota; Viridiplantae; Streptophyta; Magnoliopsida; Malpighiales; Euphorbiaceae
Source: RNAcentral
GUUUCUAGCACCGGCAGGGGUUCCCUCUAAACGCAUACAAAGGAGAAAUUGAAAACCAAUUAAUGGAAUUUUCAUAAUAUGGCCACCAAUGUCCUGAAGGCCACACAUUCUAUCCUGAAGUUGAUUCUCCUCAGGGGAAACUACUAAGCCACUGUUCCAGUCAAGAUACCUUAUAGUCGCAGAAGAGGAACUAACUUCUCUUGUCUGAGAAUUUCGAUGAAUCACUGGAUUUGACCA